GCCCGAAGCCGAUUAUCUAACCUUUUGGAAGAAGUCGUCGAAGGUGGAAUCAAUAACUGGGGUGAAGUCGUGACAAGGGAGCCGGAUCGGAAGGUGCGUCUGGAUCACCUCCUUGUUAAGGAGA
This 124-nucleotide ribosomal RNA is filed under the name Clostridioides difficile. RNAcentral describes it as "partial 16S ribosomal RNA". It matches the Rfam family "Bacterial small subunit ribosomal RNA", at positions 1419 to 1533 of the family's 1533-position model. Lineage: Bacteria; Bacillati; Bacillota; Clostridia; Peptostreptococcales; Peptostreptococcaceae. The record is from RNAcentral.